UGGGGGAAUCUUCCGCAAUGGACGAAAGUCUGACGGAGCAACGCCGCGUGAGUGAUGAAGGCCUUCGGUUGUAAACUCUGUUGUCAGGGACGAAAGCACCGAUCUAUAAUACAUUUUGGUGUUGACGGUACCUGACGAGGAAGCCACGGCUAACUACGUGCCAGCAGCCGCGGUAAUACGUAGGUGGCAAGCGUUGUCCGGAAUUAUUGGGCGUAAAGAGCAUGUAGGCGGGCUUUUAAGUCCGACGUGAAAAUGCGGGGCUUAACCCCGUAUGGCGUUGGAUACUGGAAGUCUUGAGUGCAGGAGAGGAAAG
RNAcentral lists this ribosomal RNA (313 nucleotides) under uncultured Acidaminococcus sp. RNAcentral's name for it is "bacterial SSU rRNA". It matches the Rfam family "Bacterial small subunit ribosomal RNA", at positions 354 to 661 of the family's 1533-position model. Lineage: Bacteria; Bacillati; Bacillota; Negativicutes; Acidaminococcales; Acidaminococcaceae. The record is from RNAcentral.